Long non-coding RNA from Canis lupus familiaris (dog), 729 nucleotides. RefSeq lists it as uncharacterized. The record is from RefSeq and is a predicted model, not a curated record. The transcript is spliced from 5 exons. NCBI's taxonomy places the organism in Eukaryota, Metazoa, Chordata, Mammalia, Carnivora, Canidae.
UUCCGUGAGGACAGGAACCAUCUGCGUCCUAGUAACCAAGGCAUCUCAAGCACCUAGAACAGAGUUGGAGCAGUAGAAAGUGUACAAAGUGCUGGAUAAAUUAAAGUAUGCAUGGAUUCUCCCAGUAUGUGACUGCAAUCAAAGUCCAAAGCCUCUGACUUGUUAUGAAGAUCUGGCUGGUUCUCUCAUCAUGAGGGAGAAGAGACCUGGAUCCUAAUGGAGCUGCUAUGCAACCCACAAGAAAGAAUGAGAAAACAAUAAAGAACACAAUGAUGAUAAGGUUAUAUACUGCUAAUGUGGAAGGAAGAUAUAAGAAAAACAAGGUGGUAAUGCAUAAAAACCUUGUAGUCUGUCACACAAAGCAUAUUUUUUUUUAAAAAGGCAAAAAAAAUUAAAAGUAGCUCAAGCAAUUUGAAGGCAUAUUCUCUCUUAAAGAAAUGACAACAGGUUUCCGUAGGUCUCGAAACAUCCGUGGCCAAGGACUGAAACUCUCACCUGAAUAAAUACCUAUCUUCAGAGUUUGAGCACUGGAGGCCACUAACGUGACAAAGACAAGAGGUGCCUCCUUCUUACAAGCUGUGCAACCUUGGUACAGUUAGUUAACUUCUCGGAACUUCCUUCCCUCACCUGCUAACUUCUGAAGAAAAAUAUCUGCCCCAUGAGUUGCGAUAAAGAAUAAAGGAGAUCGAGCACUGGGGGUUAUACUCUAUGUUGGCAAACUGAAUUUAA